RNAcentral lists this ribosomal RNA (642 nucleotides) under Triticum aestivum (bread wheat). RNAcentral's name for it is "partial small subunit ribosomal RNA". The record is from RNAcentral. Lineage: Eukaryota; Viridiplantae; Streptophyta; Magnoliopsida; Poales; Poaceae.
AUGGAUUUAGUUCGUGAUUGUGGCGUAAUAGACAGCACUGAUGAGCAUUUCAUUGCAACUGAGCUCUAUUGCCCAGGCUUCACACACAUCGUUUCAGUCAUAUUUGGCAAGUAUUGUGAAAGUUGGGUGAUGAAGGCCGAGCCUCGGAAAUCUAUUUUGAGUGGAUUUGGAUGGCUUCAAGAGACUAUUGCCACACCGGGAGAGACCUACACAAUGUUGAGAACGACGGCAAGUGUGUUCUUUGAUCUUCAUGACUUGUUGGUACGUGACUAUGGUCUCAAAGAAACAAGCUUUGUUAGCACUUAUGAGUCUCUUGCUAUGUUCUUGUGGACAUUGGGUGGUUGUGAAUCAAAUAGAAGAACUCAAAAUCGCUUCAAACAUUCAACGGAUACAAUCCAUCGUAAAUUCCAUGAGGUUCUACAAUGUGUAGUGAACAUGGCAUCUCACUACCUUAAGCCACAAGACCCAAACUUCCACAUUGUGCAUGAUCUAAUUAAAAAGGAUAGGAGGGCUUAUCCUCAUCUCAAAGAUUGCAUUGGUGCAAUCGACGGGACUCAUAUAAGAGCUUCUAUUCCCGAUGGCCCACCGAAAGUUAGAUACAUUGGGAGGACGGGCAUGACAACUCAUGAUGGCGAUAUGUGA